RNAcentral lists this ribosomal RNA (253 nucleotides) under uncultured bacterium. RNAcentral describes it as "partial 16S ribosomal RNA". It matches the Rfam family "Bacterial small subunit ribosomal RNA", at positions 524 to 776 of the family's 1533-position model. The record is from RNAcentral.
UACGUAGGGUGCAAGCGUUGUCCGGAAUUAUUGGGCGUAAAGAGCUCGUAGGCGGUUUGUCGCGUCUGGUGUGAAAAUCCAGGGCUUAACCCUGGACCUGCAUCGGGUACGGGCAGACUAGAGUGCGGUAGGGGAGAUCGGAAUUCCUGGUGUAGCGGUGAAAUGCGCAGAUAUCAGGAGGAACACCGGUGGCGAAGGCGGAUCUCUGGGCCGUAACUGACGCUGAGGAGCGAAAGCAUGGGGAGCAAACAGG